Long non-coding RNA from Xiphophorus hellerii (green swordtail), 97 nucleotides. RefSeq lists it as uncharacterized. The transcript has 3 exons. NCBI's taxonomy places the organism in Eukaryota, Metazoa, Chordata, Actinopteri, Cyprinodontiformes, Poeciliidae. The record is from RefSeq and is a predicted model, not a curated record.
GGAGGAGCUGCACCUUGGGGUGGCUAGGUCCAUCCAGGCGUUUUACACAGCUGAAUGGUUACCAUGGAGAUUAAAGGAUUUCUCAAACAUGCAUGAA